This 274-nucleotide ribosomal RNA is filed under the name uncultured bacterium. RNAcentral describes it as "partial 16S ribosomal RNA". It matches the Rfam family "Bacterial small subunit ribosomal RNA", at positions 523 to 796 of the family's 1533-position model. The record is from RNAcentral.
CUACGGAGGGUGCGAGCGUUAAUCGGAAUUACUGGGCGUAAAGCGUGCGUAGGUGGUUAUUUAAGCAAGAUGUGAAAGCCCAGGGCUCAACCUUGGAACUGCAUUUUGAACUGGAUGGCUAGAGUAUUGUAGAGGGUGGUGGAAUUUCCAGUGUAGCGGUGAAAUGCGUAGAGAUUGGAAGGAACAUCAGUGGCGAAGGCGGCCACCUGGACAACUACUGACACUGAGGCACGAAAGCGUGGGGAGCGAACAGGAUUAGAAACCCUAGUAGUCC